Molecule: ribosomal RNA, 487 nt
Filed under: uncultured bacterium
Lineage: Bacteria
Description: bacterial SSU rRNA
Rfam family: Bacterial small subunit ribosomal RNA
Source: RNAcentral
AACAAACGCUGGCGGCGUGUCUUAAGCAUGCAAGUUGAGCGGCAAGGGCAGCAAUGCCCCUAGAGCGGCGGACUGGUGAGUAACGCGUGGGUGAUCUACCCAAGGCAUGGGGAUAGCCAUUAGAAAUAGUGGGUAAUACCGAAUACGCUUGUGCAGGUAAGCUGCAUAAGGAAAGGUGCUACGGCACCGGCCUAGAGAUGAGCCCGCGUCCCAUUAGCUAGUUGGUGAGGUAACGGCCCACCAAGGCGAUGAUGGGUAGCCGGCCUGAGAGGGUGUACGGCCACACUGGGACUGAGAUACGGCCCAGACUCCUACGGGAGGCAGCAGCUAAGAAUAUUCCGCAAUGGACGAAAGUCUGACGGAGCGACGCCGCGUGGAUGAAGAAGGCCGAAAGGUUGUAAAAUCCUUUUGCUGAGGAAGAAUAAGUGUGGGAGGGAAUGCCCGCAUGAUGACAUGAAUCGGCGAAUAAGCCCCGGCCAACUACGUG